ACUCAAAGGAAUAGACGGGGGCCCGCACAAGCAGCGGAGCGUGCGGUUUAAUUCGAUGGUACGCGAAGAACCUUACCCAGGCUUGACAUGCAAGUGGUACUGAGCCGAAAGGCAAGGGACCCGCAAGGGAGCUUGCACAGGUGUUGCACGGCUGUCGUCAGCUCGUGUCGUGAGAUGUUGGGUUAAGUCCCGCAACGAGCGCAACCCUCGGGGUCUGUUGUAUCUCUCAGACCCGACUGCCGAGAGAAACUCGGAGGAAGGUGGGGAUGACGUCAAGUCAGCGUGGCCCUUACGCCUGGGGCUACACGCACGCUACAAUGGCUGGUCACAGCGAGUUCCGACGGCGCGAGCCGAAGGUAAUCUCUUAAAACCAGCCUCAGUUCAGAUCGGAGGCUGCAACUCGCCUCCGUGAAGUCGGAGUUGCUAGUAACCGGGGGUCAGCACACCCCGGUGAAUAUGUUCCCGGGCCUUGCACACACCGCCCGU
Molecule: ribosomal RNA, 486 nt
Filed under: uncultured bacterium
Lineage: Bacteria
Description: partial 16S ribosomal RNA
Rfam family: Bacterial small subunit ribosomal RNA
Source: RNAcentral